GCACUGCUGUUGAAUCCCUGCUGUGCCUGUGCGUGGUGUGGGGGUCAGACUUCAGCCCCAGAGCACAUGCUUGUGCCUGACUGGGGAUGCCUGCUCCCCACAGUGGCCCUUUUAGCCCUGAGCUAUGUGG
This is a small nucleolar RNA of Pipistrellus kuhlii (Kuhl's pipistrelle), 130 nucleotides long. NCBI's taxonomy places the organism in Eukaryota, Metazoa, Chordata, Mammalia, Chiroptera, Vespertilionidae. The record is from RefSeq and is a predicted model, not a curated record.